UACGUAGGGGGCAAGCGUUGUCCGGAAUCAUUGGGCGUAAAGAGCGUGUAGGCGGCUUGGUAAGUCCGCUGUGAAAGUCCAGGGCUCAACCCUGGAAAGCCAGUGGAAACUGCCAAGCUAGAGUCCGGAAGAGGCGAGUGGAACUCCUGGUGUAGCGGUGAAAUGCGCAGAUAUCAGGAAGAGCACCAAUGGCGAAGGCAGCUCGCUGGGACGCGACUGACGCUGAGACGCGAAAGCGUGGGGAGCAAACAGG
This 253-nucleotide ribosomal RNA is filed under the name uncultured bacterium. RNAcentral describes it as "partial 16S ribosomal RNA". It matches the Rfam family "Bacterial small subunit ribosomal RNA", at positions 524 to 776 of the family's 1533-position model. The record is from RNAcentral.